This 295-nucleotide ribosomal RNA is filed under the name Pseudo-nitzschia fraudulenta. RNAcentral describes it as "partial Bacterial small subunit ribosomal RNA". It matches the Rfam family "Bacterial small subunit ribosomal RNA", at positions 214 to 526 of the family's 1533-position model. The record is from RNAcentral. Lineage: Eukaryota; Bacillariophyta; Bacillariophyceae; Bacillariales; Bacillariaceae.
AUCGGUGAAGGAUCGGCCCGCGUUAGAUUAGUUUGUUGGUGGGGUAAUGGCCUACCAAGACUACGAUCUAUAGCUGGUCUGAGAGGAUGAUCAGCCACACUGGGACUGAGACACGGCCCAGACUCCUACGGGAGGCAGCAGUGGGGAAUAUUGGACAAUGGGCGCAAGCCUGAUCCAGCCAUGCCGCGUGAGUGAUGAAGGCCCUAGGGUUGUAAAGCUCUUUCAGCGAGGAGGAUAAUGACGUUACUCGCAGAAGAAGCCCCGGCUAACUUCGUGCCAGCAGCCGCGGUAAUAC